This 73-nucleotide transfer RNA is filed under the name Nocardioides sp. RNAcentral describes it as "tRNA-Gly". It matches the Rfam family "tRNA". Rfam says of the family: Transfer RNA (tRNA) molecules are approximately 80 nucleotides in length. Lineage: Bacteria; Bacillati; Actinomycetota; Actinomycetes; Propionibacteriales; Nocardioidaceae. RNAcentral also lists the same sequence under 6 other names. The record is from RNAcentral.
GCGGACGUAGCUCAGUUGGUAGAGCACAACCUUGCCAAGGUUGGGGUCGCGAGUUCGAGUCUCGUCGUCCGCU